AUUUUCCAUAGUAGAUAUAUUAUAUUAAAUCUAUAGUAAUAAAUUCAGCUUGUCAUAUCCUUACCAACCAUUUUUCUUUUUCUUUUUCUUUUUUUUUAAUAAAUAGUAGCCACAAUCAUAUCUGUGAGUGGUAUCUUAUUGAAAUUUUGAUCUUGCUUUUCCUUUAUCAUUUGUGAUAUUUUAUAUUUUUUCAGCUUGUCAGCACUUACUUAUCAGUCACUCUGACACCAGUGGAGAAAUUUCUAUAAAAGUUAUUUUGAACAGUUACUAUUUUUUAAUUUUAAAUUUCCUUUACCCUGGACAUUAAUUCUUUGUGUAAUUAGAAAUUACUUAAGUCAGUGGCUCCUUACUGCCUGUGUGCCUGCUGUUCCAAUAACAUAGGUACAGUAGCAAGCCAAGGGGUCAGAGAUUACUGCUACUCUAUAAGUAGUGAAAUUGAAGAAAAUUAGCCCCAGUUAAUUCCCAAACUUUGCAUUUGCCCUCUAUAGAUUCGGAACUCAGACUUAAGUCAAGCAGGUGGAUGUCACCAAUACAUCUGCCUGGUCGACAAUCAGAUUUCUCUAACUCCUUUUCUGCCAUAUGGUGGUUUAAGUAGGAAUGGCCCCCACAGACUCAUGGGUUUCAAUGUGUGGGUCAUAGGAAGUGGUUUAUUAGGAACGGUGGCUUUGUUGAAGUAGGUGUGACCUUGUUAAAGGAAGUAUGUCACUCUGGAGGCGGGCUUUGAUGUGUCAUAUGCUCAAGCUAGGCCUAGUGGGACGGUUUCCUUCUGCUGCCUGCAGAUCAGUAUGAGAGUUCUCAGCUCUGUCUUCAGCACCGUGCUUGCAUGGUGCCGUGCUUCUCACCAUGGUGAUAACAGACUGAACCUCUGAAUCUAAGCCAGCUAAAUGUUGUCCUCUAUAAGAGUUCCUGUGGCCAUGGUGCCUCUUCACAGCCAUAAAACCCUAACUAAGACUUGCCCUUUUCCCAAAGUUUUAGGAUGGUUUUGAUAACUUUUAAAGUACAUCAUUAAUGAACUAUUUUCAUUAAUAAACAACAUACAAGGUUGUAUAAAAUAAUGACCUUCAUUGUAAUAUAUUUGUACCUGCCUGUAAUAGCUUUUGGAUCAUGUUUGCUUCCAGAUCUAUCUCCCCUACUGCCAGUCCCUUUUUCAUUUUUUAACAUGCUCCCAUUAGCCAAGGUUGGCCUUGAAGUACUUACCUCAUGAGGAAGGACAGCGUUGACCAGAUGAACCUUCCUAGAUGUUUAAAUGUAUGAUCUAGGUAAUCAUGCCCAGCCAACCGCUGUGUAUUUCCUAAUUCUCCUCUUUCUAAUCCUCUAUCUGUUGCCAACUCUUUUUCCCUAGAUUCUACAUAUGAGUAAAACAUCUGAGCCCAUCUAACACUACUUAAUAUAAUGAUCUCCUACUCCCUCCAUUUUCCUUUAAGAAAUAUAAGCUUUGCUUAAACCCUACAUUUCUGCUUUGUGUUUUUCUAAGAACUUUCAUUUCUAUUCUCUCACACAUUACCUCUACAUUAUGAUACAAACACAAUUUAUAAAGCUGAUGAUAAUAAAUAUAAUAAAUUAUAUGUAUAAUAUAUAAGUGUAUAGUAUAUUAGAAAAUACAUGAAUUAGAUAUAUAUGUAUAUAUUUAUAUUAGACUUUAUAUAUCAGAAUAUAUUUAGAUUAGAUGAUACUCAUAUUAGAAGAACUCACACCAGUGUUUUAGGCGAAUACAGCCAGUUAGGUGCAUUAGUUUCCUAGAUUUAAGAAAAUGAGGAAAAAAACUUUUUUUUCUCUUCUGGAGAUUCUCAAGUCUCCAGUGAGGUCACCACAGGGAAGGCACUCAUUUUCCCUGGUCCUCCCUGCUUUAGCAGCUCCACGUGACUAUUUCCUGCUGUCUGUAUCCAAAACGUUCUGUCCAUUCACCCUGUUCUCUGUAUCCCUGUUCUGAUAAGGACCCUAGCCAUGUUAGAUUAGGACCCAAUUUUAGGCCUUGUUCUAAUUUUACUACCCCUUUAAAGACCUUAUGUUAAUUAAAAAUUAAUUCAGAAAAGAAAUUAAGCCUUUCCUUCCAAAUAUGAAUAAGAAAUGAGACGUUAGCAUAUGGGCUGAAUGGGAGCAACUCAAAGCAGUUUGAAAUAUGCCUUUCGCUUAAGACCUCAAUUUUUUCUGCAUUUGUAUUUCUCGGGUGACUUUUCCCUUCCUCUCUUCUUCAGAUCCUUUUAGCACUUUCUAAAUCUCUUAACACUUCUCUAGUAAUUCUAGAUUUGACCUACCAGGCUUCCACAAACAGAAGGUAAGAGCAUGUUCUUCUCUUGGCCAGUAUUAUCAUCAUGGUUCAAAUUGUCGCCACUAUUUUCAAUAUGAAUUUCCUUCUUAUUACUCAAUAUGUAUCAGUUUGUCCCUCCUCAAAAACAUUUGCUACAUCUGUUGGUCUCGUUCCAUAGGUUAGAAUGUCUUGGCAGGCAGAGGCUAUGUCUUUUUAUCAGUAUUUUCAGCACAACUCUGAGCUGAAAGCCUUCCUAUCAUAACACAAACACCCAUGUGCACACACACAGUUGCUUUGUUUUUGUUUGUGGAAAAGCUACUCAUUUCCUUCUGUAUAUUUAAGCACAUUUAAAAACCAAAAAACCAAUUCCUUUCAGGUUACACAUUCAUAUUAUAGGCCUUAAACUUUGUUUUUGACUUAUCCUUAUAAUUUAUCCAUGUACUUCCUAUGGCACAAAGUCCCUCAUACGCGUUCAAUAAUGGUUACUAGUUUCAUUCAGACAUAUUAAAAAUAAGCUCUCUGGGGUUGAGGUGUGGCUGAGAUGUAAUGUUUAUGUAGUCACAAGACCACACACACCAAGGUUGAUUUCCAAUUCUGAAAAACAAAACAAAACAAAACAAAACAACAGCAACAACAAAAACAAAGAAAUAAUAAAUAAAUAAUCUUCAUUUCCAGGAAGCUUACAUUCCUAGCUUUUGGAGUUUUGAUGUUGCUGGCUUUUUUCUUCUCCUUUCUUGUUUUGACUUUUCUUUACUUUUUUUAAUACUGACUUCUUUUGAAAGAAAGAAAACGUCUAAGUCAGCCUAGAUGUGUUUUGUUGUUGUUUUGUUAUUGUAAAAUCAUUAUCAUGUUGUUUAACUUCUUAACCCAGCAUCCAGGCGAAUAGCAGCCCAUCACCCUUACACAACUGCAGAGGGCAAAUUCCAUCGAAACGUCCAAUGUGGCUACAGAAAUUGUCUUCUCUUGUCUGACGCUGGGAAGCUUAUUUGCCCAAUGCAGCUCCUUCCCACUGAGGGGCUUUCCAUGGAAAUGUCUUAAGUCAAUUCACAGUCAGGCUUCUGCAACCACAUCCUAUCCAGGCGGCACUGGUACUGUUUUCCUAAACCAAUCUGAGUUCUCUUGCCUUCAGCUACCAUUCUGCUUUCCCCUGAAUUCUAGACAGUCCCCAUUUGCAAUAGUGAUUUAUUGACAGAUUCUCAUUCAAUCUCUUUAAAAAAUGAUCACAGUUGUAGAUGGGUUAUAAUGACAAGCUUGUUUUGGGUGGGCUUACUGAAGAGUCUUGAUAUCUUGUGCCCUCCUUUUGGCAAUUACCUCUUUUGUAGUUACCAAUACAAGGUUACCUUCAGUAACCUUGAACUCACUGUAUUUUAACCUAGUUUUCCCCUGUAAGGGGACAUUCCCCUCCUCUGCACACGGCUGUAUAGGUUCUCUGUGGACAUUCCUCUGAGCCUUACCAGUGUUCUUCUCACACUAUUAAUUAAACGAGAAAUACUAUUACAGCAUU
RNAcentral lists this long non-coding RNA (3752 nucleotides) under Mus musculus (house mouse). RNAcentral describes it as "long non-coding RNA chr16:41607892-41611644". Lineage: Eukaryota; Metazoa; Chordata; Mammalia; Rodentia; Muridae. The record is from RNAcentral.